This 301-nucleotide ribosomal RNA is filed under the name uncultured bacterium. RNAcentral's name for it is "partial 16S ribosomal RNA". It matches the Rfam family "Bacterial small subunit ribosomal RNA", at positions 509 to 807 of the family's 1533-position model. The record is from RNAcentral.
CAGCAGCCGCGGGAACACGUAGGUGGCAAGCGUUGUCCGGAAUUAUUGGGCGUAAAGGGCUCGCAGGCGGUUUCUUAAGUCUGAUGUGAAAGCCCCCGGCUCAACCGGGGAGGGUCAUUGGAAACUGGGAAACUUGAGUGCAGCAGAGGAGAGUGGAAUUCCACGUGUAGCGGUGAAAUGCGUAGAGAUGUGGGGGAACACCAGUGGCGAAGGCGACUCUCUGGUCUGUAACUGACGCUGAGGAGCGAAAGCGUGGGGAGCGAACAGGAUUAGAUACCCCCGUAGUCCCUGUCUCUUAUAC